This 720-nucleotide small RNA is filed under the name Pongo abelii (Sumatran orangutan). RNAcentral's name for it is "processed transcript". The record is from RNAcentral. Lineage: Eukaryota; Metazoa; Chordata; Mammalia; Primates; Hominidae.
UGUAGGUAGGGUUUCACCCUGUUGGCCAGGCUGGUCUCAAACUCCUAACCUCAAGUGAUCCACCCACCUCGGCCUCCCAAAGUGUUGAAAUUACAGGUGUGAGCCACAGCACCCAGCCAACUUUUGAAUUGUGAACCAGUUGAUUCAGUACCAGAGCUCUUCAACACCUUGAAGAAAGAUUCAAGGAGAACAGUUGUGAACAGCUUGCCCCAGGGAAAGGACAAGGCUAAGAGAAUUCCAAGGCUUGCUUGUGAAAACAGAAUUGGGGAAAUGGAAAUUGAAGAAAUUGUAGCUGUCAGGAACAAGAGAAGAAUGACAUGAAAUCUGCUACUGAGAUAUGUUGGAUAUUUUGCACAAGUGAAACAUAUCUACAACUGGAAUCUCCCUCCAAGAAGGAUACUCUUUAUAAGAAGAUUCAUUAUUUAUUCGAUUCAUGGCUUAAACCACAAAGAAAUGAAUUGGAUAAUCCACAUAAACAAAAGACAUGGAAAAUUUACCCACUAGAAUUUGCAGUAGAGAUUUUAUUAGAAAUGACUUACAGUUAUGUUGUGGCUGGUAUCUGAUUAAGUAUAGUUCUCCCUUCCACUUCUGGGAAAGAAUUAUGUUCUUUCCAACCCCUGCCACAUAGUUUUAUGUUCUAAAUCUUCCUUGAUGAUAUAUCUAUAUUUAUAUAUGUUUACAUAUGUUCUUGAUAAAUCUAUUAAAUAGAUAUAGAUAAAA